This is a long non-coding RNA of Chenopodium quinoa (quinoa), 1200 nucleotides long. RefSeq lists it as uncharacterized. The transcript is spliced from 3 exons. Lineage: Eukaryota; Viridiplantae; Streptophyta; Magnoliopsida; Caryophyllales; Amaranthaceae. The record is from RefSeq and is a predicted model, not a curated record.
UAGUUUUAUUUUUUAUUUUAUUCUUUUAACAAUUACCUUUGUUUCUUUUAUCUAAUAAACCUUUUAAAUGCGACCCUUUGUCCCAACCGAAUCCUUUUUUAUAAUAGGUAUGUUAAUAUUUUAAUGUUUAAAAGUGUUCAUUUUGAUUUUUUAUUUUUUUUUUUGUAUAUUUUACAAGUAAUAUGCUACCAUAAAAACCAUGUAUACAAAAAAAUAUAAGGAGUAGGGGUUUUUGAGAAUAUCUCGGGUUGCAGGUCGUGAAUAUGUAGAGACAGCCGGAGACAUCUGCCAGACAACGAAUAUUCCGAUGACGAAAUAUUCGCCUCCGACGGUUAAGUUAGUAACUGAAAAACAAAAGAUAUUUAGAGAGUGAAAGUAGAAAGAAGUUAGAGCACUUUGUAUAUGCCUUUUUAUGAUAUCUCAAUCUAGCUAUCUAAUCAUUAGGGUGGGAAUGUGUGCAUUCUAAGGUUUGGUACCCCAUUCAGGUAAGGACAGGUGUCCUUUGGGGGCGCCGUUUUAGUGCUUUUCUCGGGAAUUAGGCCUCCUAAUGUAAUGGAUUAAUGAAGGCCUUUUUCCUAUUCAGGUACUCUCAUAUUGCCACUUGUCAUCUCCCUAUUAGGACACGUGUUUCCCUUUUAUUAGUCCACGUGUCACCAUAGGAUUGGAACAUGUGGUAGGUAUAUAUUUACCCUAAACAUUUUUCCGGUAAAGGGGGGUUGGCUGAAACCAUUUGGGCUGCCUCUUCUGAAAUUUCAUUCGUACACUAAUGUUGGACGGCACUCCAAUUGAUCCCCUAGUCCCCAUGAAUCCGGAUGAUACGGACGUGGACUUCAGUGGGAGCACCUACUCGAUAAUGGAGAUCACCAUGGGCCAGCAAAGGUAAACUAUUGUCAAGAACCAAGGAAUCCUACUAAUUGGGAGGAAAAACAUUUCUUUCCAUCAAGACUUUGUGGGUUAUAUAUGCUCUCGAGCCUUAAACAAAUGAUGCUACUGAAAAGAAUGAAGACGUAUGGACAUUCCUUAAUGAGGGGGUUGUCGUAACAUUUUGUACAAAAAUGGAGUUUUGUAGAAGUUUUUGUGUAGUGUUUUAGAUGGUAAAAUCAAAAUUAUUGAAUGUAAGUUUGUUAGUUGACUUGGUUUAUUAUUAAUAACACUAUGUCAAUUUUUUUUUUGGACUAUUAACAUGUAGUAGCGGAUAAA